CCUACGGGAGGCAGCAGUGAGGAAUAUUGGUCAAUGGACGCACGUCUGAACCAGCCAUGCCGCGUGCAGGAAGACGGCUCUAUGAGUUGUAAACUGCUUUUGUACGAGGGUAAACGCAGAUACGCGUAUCUGUCUGAAAGUAUCGUACGAAUAAGGAUCGGCGAACUCCGUGCCAGCAGCCGCGGUAAUACGGAGGAUUCAAGCGUUAUCCGGAUUUAUUGGGUUUAAAGGGUGCGUAGGCGGUAGGAUAAGUUAGAGGUGAAAUCCCGAGGCGCAACUUCGGAAUUGCUUCUGAUACUGGUCGGCUAGAGAGUAGUAGCGGUAGGAGGAAGGUAUGGUGGAGAGGGGAAAUGCUUAGAGAUCA
Molecule: ribosomal RNA, 364 nt
Filed under: uncultured bacterium
Lineage: Bacteria
Description: partial 16S ribosomal RNA
Rfam family: Bacterial small subunit ribosomal RNA
Source: RNAcentral